UAAGAUCUAUGGCUCUGAUCUUCAGCCUUCCAUUCUCAUCAACCCUCAACCCCAUAUUGUAUAUUUGGAAUAUAAAAUCCGACAAACCACAAACAUGUCCACUACACUAUUCCUACCUUCAUCACUUCUUUCAUAGGAAUUCCCAUUUCUCUGUAUGCCAAACCACAGCCUCCACAAUUCAUUCACUGCUCUCACCUAAAACUCCCAUUUUCCCAUGAAAUAUUAUUGUGACCGACAAUGGGCUCGAAGGGUGCCAUUAAUGGAGGCGACAAGCCGUUGAUUCCUACUGAUAUUUGCAGGAAAGAGUAAAGCUUAAUCACCACUCCAUAUAUAUAAUGCAACACACACCACCAUUUUUUCACUUGCAAACUAAACUUCUUCUUCAACUUCGAUCUUCUAAAAUUUUCCUAACACUCAUUUCUAGAUUUCCAUGAAAUUAAACCCAUCCCAAAUUAAAGCAUAUAUAAUUCCUCAUCAGUAAGACUU
Long non-coding RNA from Ipomoea nil (Japanese morning glory), 486 nucleotides. RefSeq lists it as uncharacterized. The record is from RefSeq and is a predicted model, not a curated record. Lineage: Eukaryota; Viridiplantae; Streptophyta; Magnoliopsida; Solanales; Convolvulaceae. The transcript has 3 exons.